UAGCGAUUUCCCAAGUAGUGGUGAGCGAACGGGAAACAGCCUAAACCAGAGGUUUUUACUUCUGGGGUCGUGGGACAGUCAAUCAACGUAUCUUCAAGCUAGACAAAGCAGUUGAAAGCUGCACCAGAGAAGGUGAAAGUCCUGUAGUCGAAAGUAGAAAAGAGCGUGACUGUAUCCCGAGUAGCACGGGGCCCGUGAAAUCCCGUGUGAAUCAGCGAGGACCAUCUCGUAAGGCUAAAUACUACUGUGUGACCGAUAGUGAACCAGUACCGCGAGGGAAAGGUGAAAAGAACCCCGG
This 298-nucleotide ribosomal RNA is filed under the name uncultured Isochrysis. RNAcentral's name for it is "partial Bacterial large subunit ribosomal RNA". It matches the Rfam family "Bacterial large subunit ribosomal RNA", at positions 229 to 529 of the family's 2925-position model. Lineage: Eukaryota; Haptophyta; Isochrysidales. The record is from RNAcentral.